RNAcentral lists this transfer RNA (57 nucleotides) under Ixodes scapularis (black-legged tick). It matches the Rfam family "tRNA", at positions 8 to 63 of the family's 71-position model. From Rfam's summary of the family: Transfer RNA (tRNA) molecules are approximately 80 nucleotides in length. Their secondary structure includes four short double-helical elements and three loops (D, anti-codon, and T loops). The record is from Rfam by way of RNAcentral. Lineage: Eukaryota; Metazoa; Arthropoda; Arachnida; Ixodida; Ixodidae.
UAGCUUAGUUGGUAGAGCGCUUCACUAGAAAUGGAGAGGUCUUGGUUCGACACCAGG